AUUGAACGCUGGCGGCAUGCUUUACACAUGCAAGUCGAACGGUAACAGGCCUUCGGGUGCUGACGAGUGGCGAACGGGUGAGUAAUGCAUCGGAACGUGCCCAGAGGUGGGGGAUAACGCAGCGAAAGCUGUGCUAAUACCGCAUGUGAUCUGAGGAUGAAAGCGGGGGACCAGGCAGCAAUGUUUGGCCUCGCGCCUUUGGAGCGGCCGAUGUCAGAUUAGGUAGUUGGUGGGGUAAAGGCCUACCAAGCCGACGAUCUGUAGCUGGUCUGAGAGGACGACCAGCCACACUGGGACUGAGACACGGCCCAGACUCCUGCGGGAGGCAGCUGUGGGGAAUUUUGGACAACGGGGGCAAGCCUGAUCCAGCAAUGCCGCGUGCGGGAAGAAGGCCUUCGGGUUGUAAACCGCUUUUGUACGGAACGAAAAGGCUCUGGCUAAUACCUGGGGCUGAUGACGGUACCGUAAGAAUAAGCACCGGCUAACUACGUG
This 492-nucleotide ribosomal RNA is filed under the name uncultured bacterium. RNAcentral's name for it is "partial 16S ribosomal RNA". It matches the Rfam family "Bacterial small subunit ribosomal RNA", at positions 30 to 507 of the family's 1533-position model. The record is from RNAcentral.